UCUGCAUGCUUAUAUCUGUGCUGUUAACAUAUAUUUGUUUGUUCUUUCGCUUGAUUCUUCCAUUAAUAUCAUGUGAUAGAAUCUGCCCCUUUUUUUUUUUCGACAUAUAAGAUUGUAGUAGAAAAGAUCAGAAAUGAAAUUUAUCUUUAAAUUACUCUGAAACAACUAAGUAUUUUCUUUCCUCUUGGAAGUUGAAAACCCCUAGA
Molecule: long non-coding RNA, 206 nt
Filed under: Elaeis guineensis (African oil palm)
Lineage: Eukaryota; Viridiplantae; Streptophyta; Magnoliopsida; Arecales; Arecaceae
Description: long non-coding RNA (EGUI_LNC026674)
Source: RNAcentral